ACUGAAAGGUAUUAGGCCUACAGGAAGAAGACAUUUCCCAGCCUCCUUUCAUCUAUGUUGGGACCGUGUGACCUGUUGUCCACUAGAAUGUAAGUGAAAUGAAAUAAACUACUUCUAGGCCUGGCUCCUCCACUUUCCACUGGAUCCUCCAUUCCUCUCUCUGUCUUCCUUCUUAAACUAUGUGGCUAGAAACAUAGUUUAAGACUCUCAAAGGGUAGAGACACAUGAUAUAAGAAGCCUAUAUUCUGAGUGAUAUCUUAGAUGAUGAGAGCACUGCCUCACCCCAAAAAAGAGUGAAGAAGAAAUUCUUGUUGUGUUAAGCCACUGAUAUUUGGGGCUAUCACAGGAACUGGUGUGAAUCAUUCUGACCAUUACAAUCUUCUAUAAAGUCUUACAGAAAAUAUUUA
This 407-nucleotide long non-coding RNA is filed under the name Callithrix jacchus (white-tufted-ear marmoset). RNAcentral's name for it is "lncRNA (ENSCJAG00000081954.1)". Lineage: Eukaryota; Metazoa; Chordata; Mammalia; Primates; Cebidae. The record is from RNAcentral.